This 1783-nucleotide long non-coding RNA is filed under the name Equus caballus (horse). RNAcentral describes it as "lncRNA (ENSECAG00000048561.1)". Lineage: Eukaryota; Metazoa; Chordata; Mammalia; Perissodactyla; Equidae. The record is from RNAcentral.
GUCCUAGGGCACAAAAGGGUCCCAGAAAUUCUCUUGUCAAACUGUUGGGAAAUGUUGGGAACCAUUUUGUACUGUGGUUGUGUCUACUUUCACUUCCCUAAGAUCGCAAGCUUCCUGAGACUUCCUGGUCCUCACUGAACGUUUGCCCUGCAUGUUCUGAAAACAGUGAGGAUAAGACACACCUGGGGAGGUCGUAAAAAUGCAGAUUCCUUGUUCUACCUCCAAGGAUCCUGACUCAGGAGGUCUGGAAUGUGGCCCAGGAAUCUGCAUUUCCACAGGAACUCAUAGAAAACCUGGGGCUUUGUUCUGUGGUCCUCACUAUGGAACAUUCUACUCUGUGUGAGCUCUGGAAAAGUCGUUUACUAGAGUAAAUUACAUGUUUCAAAGGAGCCUCUCCCAUGAGUGGAGGACCAGGGUGGAGUCCAGUUCAGGAGUGGCUGGUGGACAAGGAAGUGCUGAGUCCCUAGGGGCUCAGGUACAGGGUGGGUGGCCCAUUUUAAAGAGCAACACAGAAAGUAGAGCUGAAGGGACAGGGCCCAGGCAAGUGAAUGGUGCAGAGUAGAAAAUGACCAGAAAGAAGGCAAAUCUGUUUAAAUGGCUGCAUGGGCACGUCAAGUGCACGUGGAAGGACCAAGACAGAGCAGAUACUUAAAAAGUGACACAGGAGACCAACUGUGAAUAUCUGAUGUCCACAGCUCAGGAUGUCCUGGAAGAGGGGGCAGGAUGGGAAGCAGGGGCCGUGGGAUGACAGUAAGGCCUGUGCCUGGGUGAUGCUGGACCGUGAUCCUGUGUACCAUGUCCCCACCACAUGGGCAGGGCCCUGCCCUCAGUGGGGCUCACCCCAUGUGUCUCCUUAAUUGGGAAACAUUGUAGGCAGCAGCCAGGUGGAUAUAAGCUGUGAACCCGAUGCUAUGUUUCAAAACAGGAGGAGGAUUCUCCAGGGCAAAUAGAUAGAGGACUUGUUAACAUUGGCAAGAUGGCCCCAGGCAAAAGUCAGCUCCUCUCAGAGGCCAGCUGUAGAAUGAAGCAAAAAUAAUAACCAAAUUAGUGUCAAAUCACAAAGAACAGAAAGGCUCUUUGUCUCCAUAGAAAGCCUGCUGUGUCUCAGAGCUUCUCUUCUCUUCUGCGUAAAAUGACCCAAUCAGAUGAGCCGCUCUACUCUUGAAGAAUGUCAGCUCACAGGGGACACACCGCCAGGGGCAGGGCCAGGGCCAGGCUGGGAAGAUGUGAGCCACUCCCUUCAUUGCUGCAGCCCUGUGCUAUGAAAGUACUUAAGCAGGCGGAUGAAAUAGAGUGAGAACCCUUGUGAGAACCACUGUGUAGUUCUAAGCCUGCUUCUGUGUUGUGGUUUAAGCAGCACAAAUAGGAAGGAAGGGAGAUUUAGGUAUGUUUUAUUAAUUCAUUGUCAUUUUUUGUUCUGAUAGGACACACCCCACAUGAACCCAACGUUGCUUACUUUUGGGGAAUUUGGCUACAUCUAAAUGUUAUGUGUUACUGAUGGUGGCAGGGGCCCUCUGUUUUAGAGGCAAGAAUUUCCUGAAAGAACAAAGGCACAUGCAGAUGAUUCGGGUUCUCAGAAUGAAGGAUUCCAGGUGUCCCCAAAUCCUCCAGAAUUCUAGAAUCACACAUAAAACUGCAGGCUGGCCAACAGUGGCCCAGACGUGCAAUGCUUCUGAGACGUCCCAUGCAAUGCCUGCAUUUGGAUGCCUUAUGUAAUAUCUACUAUGGAUUCACUAGCGUUGACCAGCACAGUAGCGGCACUGUAACUCGGGCCUGAAGGAAG